This 636-nucleotide long non-coding RNA is filed under the name Rosa chinensis. RNAcentral describes it as "sRNA RchiOBHm_Chr2g0120461". The record is from RNAcentral. Lineage: Eukaryota; Viridiplantae; Streptophyta; Magnoliopsida; Rosales; Rosaceae.
CGAAGAUUAUCCGAAUCUACGCGUCAACACCUGGCGCCAGUUGCCAAAACGCGCUUUCUAGCGAGUGGCGAGAACGCGCUUCACUCGCGUCUAUAAUACGAGAAAAUCUGACCCCCUUCUAUAAUUUUACCUUCUCUCUUUUGGGAUUAUCAUCCCCAAAUUUACCUUCAGCCAAGAUUCUUAACCGAUAUAAACCCCCGAAGGCUUGAUUUUCUAUCCCGCAAUCACAAAUUUCUCGGAAGGUUUCAAUUUCUCUCGAUUUGGGGUCAUCGGAGACGAACACAGUUCGCGAUUGUUCCCGGAGAUAUCCGUGCGGCCCAACCCGAUCGGCGGUUCCGCUUCCACGAUCCGACGUCAUUUCGCUGUCAAUUGAAUCCACCCUGCAGCUCUAGAGUUCUUUGAUUCUUUCAGAUUGCUUCAAGAAUAUCGAAGGCUUUGUUCGUUGCAAGAAUAUCGAAGGCUUUGUUCUCUGAGAUUUCUGAGAUUCGAUUCGAAUUCAUCGGCGGAGGGUUGCAUAAGUCUUUAUCAGUGCGAGGUAUCGAAUCGGUGAUCGGUGAAGAGUUAGGGUUCGGCGUUCAAGGGAGAUUGGAGACCUUCUGCGGCGGUUUGAUUUGUUUGACCUCAGUAGAGUAAUCG